AUGCAAGUCGAACGUGAAGCCACCUUCGGGUGGUGGAAAGUGGCAGACGGGUGAGUAACGCGUGGGAACGUGCCUUUCGGUUCGGAAUAACCCAGGGAAACUUGGGCUAAUACCAGAUACGCCCUUCGGGGGAAAGAUUCAUCGCCGAAAGAUCGGCCCGCGUCGGAUUAGCUAGUUGGUAGGGUAAUGGCCUACCAAGGCGACGAUCCGUAGCUGGUCUGAGAGGAUGACCAGCCACACUGGGACUGAGACACGGCCCAGACUCCUACGGGAGGCAGCAGUGGGGAAUAUUGGACAAUGGGCGAAAGCCUGAUCCAGCCAUGCCGCGUGGGUGAAGAAGGCCUUAGGGUUGUAAACCCCUUUCAGCGGGGAAGAUAAUGACGGUACCCGCAGAAGAAGCCCCGGCUAACUCCGUGCCAGCAGCCGCGGUAAUACGGAGGGGGCUAGCGUUGUUCGGAAUUACUGGGCGUAAAGCGCGCGUAGGCGGACCUGCAAGUCGGGGGUGAAAGCCCGAGGCUCAACCUCGGAACUGCCUUCGAUACUGCGGGUCUCGAGUCCGGGAGAGGUGAGUGGAAUUCCUAGUGUAGAGGUGAAAUUCGUAGAUAUUAGGAAGAACACCAGUGGCGAAGGCGGCUCACUGGCCCGGUACUGACGCUGAGGCGCGA
Molecule: ribosomal RNA, 665 nt
Filed under: uncultured soil bacterium
Lineage: Bacteria
Description: bacterial SSU rRNA
Rfam family: Bacterial small subunit ribosomal RNA
Source: RNAcentral